This 497-nucleotide ribosomal RNA is filed under the name uncultured bacterium. Its description in RNAcentral is "partial 16S ribosomal RNA". It matches the Rfam family "Bacterial small subunit ribosomal RNA", at positions 28 to 507 of the family's 1533-position model. The record is from RNAcentral.
GAUGAACGCUGGCGGCGUGCCUAAUACAUGCAAGUCGAGCGAACGGACGAGAAGCUUGCUUCUCUGAUGUUAGCGGCGGACGGGUGAGUAACACGUGGAUAACCUACCUAUAAGACUGGGAUAACUUCGGGAAACCGGAGCUAAUACCGGAUAAUAUUUUGAACCGCAUGGUUCAAAAGUGAAAGACGGUCUUGCUGUCACUUAUAGAUGGAUCCGCGCUGCAUUAGCUAGUUGGUAAGGUAACGGCUUACCAAGGCAACGAUGCAUAGCCGACCUGAGAGGGUGAUCGGCCACACGGGAACUGAGACACGGUCAAGACGCCUACGGGAGGCAGCAGUAGGGAAUCUUCCGCAAUGGGCGAAAGCCUGACGGAGCAACGCCGCGUGAGUGAUGAAGGUCUUCGGAGCGUAAAACUCUGUUAUUAGGGAAGAACAUAUGUGUAAGUAACUGUGCACAUCGUGACGGUACCUAAUCAGAAAGCCACGGCUAACUACGUG